RNAcentral lists this ribosomal RNA (527 nucleotides) under uncultured bacterium. RNAcentral's name for it is "bacterial SSU rRNA". It matches the Rfam family "Bacterial small subunit ribosomal RNA", at positions 777 to 1304 of the family's 1533-position model. The record is from RNAcentral.
AAUAGAUACCCAGGUAGUCCACGCCGUAAACGAUGAGUGCUAAGUGUUAGAGGGUUUCCGCCCUUUAGUGCUGAAGUUAACGCAUUAAGCACUCCGCCUGGGGAGUACGGCCGCAAGGCUGAAACUCAAAGGAAUUGACGGGGGCCCGCACAAGCGGUGGAGCAUGUGGUUUAAUUCGAAGCAACGCGAAGAACCUUACCAGGUCUUGACAUCCUCUGACAACCCUAGAGAUAGGGCUUCUCCUUCGGGAGCAGAGUGACAGGUGGUGCAUGGUUGUCGUCAGCUCGUGUCGUGAGAUGUUGGGUUAAGUCCCGCAACGAGCGCAACCCUUGAUCUUAGUUGCCAUCAUUCAGUUGGGCACUCUAAGGUGACUGCCGGUGACAAACCGGAGGAAGGUGGGGAUGACGUCAAAUCAUCAUGCCCCUUAUGACCUGGGCUACACACGUGCUACAAUGGACGGUACAAAGAGCUGCAAGACCGCGAGGUGGAGCUAAUCUCAUAAAACCGUUCUCAGUUCGGAUUGUAGG